GAUGAACGCUGGCGGCGUGCCUAACACAUGCAAGUCGAGCGAACAGACGAGGAGCUUGCUCCUCUGACGUUAGCGGCGGACGGGUGAGUAACACGUGGAUAACCUACCUAUAAGACUGGGAUAACUUCGGGAAACCGGAGCUAAUACCGGAUAAUAUAUUGAACCGCAUGGUUCAAUAGUGAAAGACGGUUUUGCUGUCACUUAUAGAUGGAUCCGCGCCGCAUUAGCUAGUUGGUAAGGUAACGGCUUACCAAGGCAACGAUGCGUAGCCGACCUGAGAGGGGGAUCGGCCACACUGGAACUGAGACACGGUCCAGACUCCUACGGGAGGCAGCAGUAGGGAAUCUGCCGCAAUGGGCGAAAGCUUGACGGAGCAACGCCGCGUGAGUGAUGAAGGUCUUCGGAUCGUAAAACUCUGUUAUUAGGGAAGAACAAAUGUGUAAGUAACUAUGCACGUCUUGACGGUACCUAAUCAGAAAGCCACGGCUAACUACGUG
RNAcentral lists this ribosomal RNA (497 nucleotides) under uncultured bacterium. RNAcentral's name for it is "partial 16S ribosomal RNA". It matches the Rfam family "Bacterial small subunit ribosomal RNA", at positions 28 to 507 of the family's 1533-position model. The record is from RNAcentral.